This 70-nucleotide transfer RNA is filed under the name Heterocephalus glaber (naked mole-rat). It matches the Rfam family "tRNA". From Rfam's summary of the family: Transfer RNA (tRNA) molecules are approximately 80 nucleotides in length. Their secondary structure includes four short double-helical elements and three loops (D, anti-codon, and T loops). The record is from Rfam by way of RNAcentral. Lineage: Eukaryota; Metazoa; Chordata; Mammalia; Rodentia; Bathyergidae.
AGGGAUGUAGCUCAGUGGUAGAGCAUUUGCCUAGCAGGCAAGAGGCCCUGCGUUUACACGCACACCACUC